UUACAGGCAAAGUAAAUCCAAA
This 22-nucleotide small RNA is filed under the name Arabidopsis thaliana (thale cress). Its description in RNAcentral is "ATSL289660". The record is from RNAcentral. Lineage: Eukaryota; Viridiplantae; Streptophyta; Magnoliopsida; Brassicales; Brassicaceae.